This 125-nucleotide small RNA is filed under the name Cavia porcellus (domestic guinea pig). Its description in RNAcentral is "Y RNA (ENSCPOG00000027770.2)". Lineage: Eukaryota; Metazoa; Chordata; Mammalia; Rodentia; Caviidae. The record is from RNAcentral.
AGUUAGCUCAGUUUUGGCUGUGGUGAUACCCAUAGCAGCAAAUACAGCCUAUAAAACAAUAAAUGACCAGUUACAGAUUUCUUUGUUCCUUCUCCACUCCCACUGCUUCACUUGACUAGCUUAAA